AGCACGGACGAACCGUGCCACAGCGCGGCUGCCCUCCCAAAUCCCAAGCAUAAGAUCGAGCCGUGAUCCUUCGUAAACCCAGAACCUUUGGGGUUGGUUGCUUGUACUCUGAAUUUCUGAUCAAAGCAACGCAGGAAAAAAAAGUCCACAUAACUAGCACAUCACUACACCCGGCAUCUUCUUCUCCCAAGCACCACCAGCAGAAGCUCCAAGCACGCGCUUAUUGGCAUCACACCCCGCUGGGUUUCGGUAUUUACAAUACAACACGCGAUCACGCGCGUACACGGGGGC
Long non-coding RNA from Panicum virgatum (switchgrass), 291 nucleotides. RefSeq lists it as uncharacterized. NCBI's taxonomy places the organism in Eukaryota, Viridiplantae, Streptophyta, Magnoliopsida, Poales, Poaceae. The record is from RefSeq and is a predicted model, not a curated record. The transcript is spliced from 2 exons.